ACGGAGGGUGCGAGCGUUAAUCGGAAUUACUGGGCGUAAAGCGCAUGCAGGCGGUUCAUUAAGUCAGAUGUGAAAGCCCCGGGCUCAACCUCGGAACUGCACUUGAGACUGGCGGGCUGGAGUACGGCAGAGGGGGGUGGAAUUCCACGUGUAGCAGUGAAAUGCGUAGAGAUGUGGAGGAACACCGAUGGCGAAGGCAGCCCCCUGGGCCGAUACUGACGCUCAUGCACGAAAGCGUGGGGAGCAAACAG
This 251-nucleotide ribosomal RNA is filed under the name uncultured prokaryote. RNAcentral describes it as "partial 16S ribosomal RNA". It matches the Rfam family "Bacterial small subunit ribosomal RNA", at positions 525 to 775 of the family's 1533-position model. The record is from RNAcentral.